UAAUCGUUGAGUUGCGGGAGAUACUACUAGGCUAGGAGGCGAGAGAGGCCGACGGUAUUCCCGGGGUAGGGGUGAAAUCCUAUAAUCCCGGGAGGACCACCAGUGGCGAAGGCUGUCGGCUAGAACGCGCUCGACGGUGAGGGACGAAAGCUGGGGGAGCGAACCGGAUUAGAUACCCGGGUAGUCCCAGCUGUAAACGAUGCGGGCUAGGUGUUGGGGUGGCUACGAGCCACUUCAGUGCCGCAGGGAAGCCAUUAAGCCCGCCGCCUGGGGAGUACGGCCGCAAGGCUGAAACUUAAGGGAAUUGGCGGGGGAGCACCACAAGGCGUGAAGCUUGCGGUUCAAUUGGAGUCAACGCCGGGAACCUUACCGGGAGCGACAGCAGAAUGAAAGCCAGAUUAAAGGUCUUGCUGGACAAGCUGAGAGGAGGUGCAUGGCCGUCGCCAGUUCGUGCCGUGAGGUGUCCUGUUAAGUCAGGCAACGAUCGAGACCCGCACCCUUAGUUGCUACCGACCGAAAGGCGGGCACUCUAAGGGGACUGCCGUCGAUAAGGCGGAGGAAGGAGCGGGCCACGGCAGGUCAGUAUGCCCCAAAUCU
RNAcentral lists this ribosomal RNA (597 nucleotides) under uncultured crenarchaeote. RNAcentral's name for it is "bacterial SSU rRNA". It matches the Rfam family "Archaeal small subunit ribosomal RNA", at positions 560 to 1163 of the family's 1478-position model. The record is from RNAcentral. Lineage: Archaea; Thermoproteati; Thermoproteota.